Hyaena hyaena (striped hyena) is the source of this 230-nucleotide long non-coding RNA. RefSeq lists it as uncharacterized. Lineage: Eukaryota; Metazoa; Chordata; Mammalia; Carnivora; Hyaenidae. The transcript is spliced from 3 exons. The record is from RefSeq and is a predicted model, not a curated record.
CCGAGAAGAGCCCGCCCCCAGAAGCGCGCCGCCGCCGGCCGUCGGGGCCGAGCCGCAGCCGAGCGGCCGUGGGCCCGGGCGGCGGGCGGAGACGCGGGCGCCCUCCCUGCUACGGCCCGCGUGAGAUUUGUUUCUUAUAUGUGAUGCCAUUCCAGCACUGGACUCAUGGAGGCUGAACAUUUAUUCAGAUAAGGGAAACCGAGGCACCAAGAGAUUAAGUAACUUGCCCA